Musca domestica (house fly) is the source of this 578-nucleotide long non-coding RNA. RefSeq lists it as uncharacterized. The record is from RefSeq and is a predicted model, not a curated record. The transcript has 2 exons. Lineage: Eukaryota; Metazoa; Arthropoda; Insecta; Diptera; Muscidae.
CCCAACAUACCAAAAAUACAAUACAGCUUGAGAAUAAUAUUAUGAAAAUAGUUUAUCGUAAGAAUUCCUCAACAAUGCUAGAGAAAAACUUUUUUGCACAAACUUUUCUCAAAUCUGUCCUUUGUUGACAAAUUUGUUUUGAUUUUUUUUUUUUUUUUUUUUUUUUUGAAAAUUGUCGACAAAAAAAAUAUUUUCUUUGGUUAAAAUCAAAAUCACGCGAAUUUAAGACUCAUUUCUGGACGAAACUCUAAGAAUAGAGGCGUCAAAAAGUUGCAAGAAUUCAAGAGAAGUGAAGAAUUAGUGGAGGAGAUGCGGAAGCUCAAAUAAGGGGAAAGAAAUCAUCUAGGUAUCAAUGCAACAGGAGGCAGCGACAGCUGGGAUGGCGAUCAAUGAAUGAAAUGUGUAAAAUAAUUAAAAAAUAAAUAUUUUAUACCAUUGAAAAAAUAAGCUUGAUAUAAUAUUACUUUCGUAAGCUUAUUCUGCAAUUACAAGAAUAAGCUUAUGAAUAAGGGUUCCCUUUCGAUUAUUCUAUAAUUGUUAAACAAGCAUUUCUCAAUACAUUCUCAAGAUUUUCUCAA